RNAcentral lists this ribosomal RNA (468 nucleotides) under uncultured bacterium. RNAcentral's name for it is "partial 16S ribosomal RNA". It matches the Rfam family "Bacterial small subunit ribosomal RNA", at positions 28 to 507 of the family's 1533-position model. The record is from RNAcentral.
GACGAACGCUGGCGGCGUGCUUAACACAUGCAAGUCGAACGGAAAGGCCCUGCUUUUGUGGGGUGCUCGAGUGGCGAACGGGUGAGUAACACGUGAGUAACCUGCCCUUGACUUUGGGAUAACGUCGGGAAACUGUGGCUAAUACCGGAUAGGAGCUCCUGCUGCAUGGUGGGGGUUGGAAAGUUUCGGCGGUUGGGGAUGGACUCGCGGCUUAUCAGCUUGUUGGUGGGGUAGUUGCUUACCAAGGCUUUGACGGGUAGCCGGCCUGAGAGGGUGACCGGCCCCAUUGGGACUGAGAUACGGCCCAGACGCAUACGGGAGGAAGCAGUGGGGAAUAUUGCACACUGGGCGGAAGCCGGAUGCAGCAACGCCGCGUGCGGGAUCACGGCCUUCGGGUUGUAAACCGCUUUCGCCUGUGACGAAGAGUGAGUGACGGUAAUGGGUAAAGAAGCACCGGCUAACUACGUG